This 108-nucleotide transfer RNA is filed under the name Poitea immarginata. RNAcentral describes it as "tRNA-Tyr". The record is from RNAcentral. Lineage: Eukaryota; Viridiplantae; Streptophyta; Magnoliopsida; Fabales; Fabaceae.
UGGGCCGAGCUGGAUUUGAACCAGCGUAGACAUAUUGCCAACGAAUUUACAGUCCGUCCCCAUUAACCGCUCGGGCAUCGACCCAGGAAGAAUCCAUUUCAAUCUUUA